This 684-nucleotide ribosomal RNA is filed under the name bacterium. RNAcentral's name for it is "bacterial SSU rRNA". It matches the Rfam family "Bacterial small subunit ribosomal RNA", at positions 50 to 711 of the family's 1533-position model. The record is from RNAcentral.
AAUACAUGGGAGUCGAGCGAACAGACGAGGAGCUUGCUCCUCUGACGUUAGCGGCGGACGGGUGAGUAACACGUGGAUAACCUACCUAUAAGACUGGGAUAACUUCGGGAAACCGGAGCUAAUACCGGAUAACAUGUUGAACCGCAUGGUUCAACAGUGAAAGACGGUCUUGCUGUCACUUAUAGAUGGAUCCGCGCCGCAUUAGCUAGUUGGUAAGGUAACGGCUUACCAAGGCAACGAUGCGUAGCCGACCUGAGAGGGUGAUCGGCCACACUGGAACUGAGACACGGUCCAGACUCCUACGGGAGGCAGCAGUAGGGAAUCUUCCGCAAUGGGCGAAAGCCUGACGGAGCAACGCCGCGUGAGUGAAGAAGGUCUUCGGAUCGUAAAACUCUGUUAUUAGGGAAGAACAAAUGUGUAAGUAACUAUGCACGUCUUGACGGUACCUAAUCAGAAAGCCACGGCUAACUACGUGCCAGCAGCCGCGGUAAUACGUAGGUGGAACGCGUUAUCCGGAAUUAUUGGGCGUAAAGCGCGCGUAGGCGGUUUUUUAAGUCUGAUGUGAAAGCCCACGGCUCAGCCGUGGAGGCUCGUUUGAAAAGCUAAAAGACUUGAGUGCAAAAGAAGAAGAGUGUAAAUCCCGUGUAUAGCUGAUGAAGUGCACAUAUAUAGGGAGGAACCACC